ACCUGGUGAAAUGCAGGCAGAUUAGUGACGAAGUGGGAGAAGAUGGCUGGAAUUCCAGAUACCAGUUCUGUAUGUAUCAGUCCAAUGCCUCGAACACGGACAAUCCCCAAUGAAGGACCAAGGUUCAAGAGCCAGUUUACUGAAACCUUGUUUUGGAAAUCGAACUCAUACUUCUUUAUAGUGCCAUAAUGCCACACGCACAUGACUAUCAUAAAUAUAAAGGAGAGGGUAAUUGGGACCCAUGCGCCUUCAUGAAACUUGACAAGGGAAGCUGAGAAGUAGAGUACUUCGAUUGUGCCAAAGAAAAUCAGGAAACCGAGCGCAAGGAAGAUACUUUUGUUCCAGCAAAGCACAAUGACCAGUGACAUUAAACAAGUGGUAACAAGCAUAACAGUUAUAACUGCCAGACCUGUAUCAAGAAAGUUCAGGACAAACAGUGAGAACAAGCACUAGAUGCUUCUCAAUGCGCGUUAGAAAUAGCUAUAUGUAUAGCUUGUCUUACCUUGUGCAUUUGCCAAAUGUUUCGUGUUUCUGAAGCCAAGAGUAACAGCCAGGCAGAGUAUCAUCAGGAUCCAAUUGAUUUCAGGUAUGUAUAUCUGACCGUGUACUGUAGAUGAUGUGUGCACAAUUUUCACGCCAGGGAAGCAACUUAAUGAAGAGCACUGCUUGAUAAUUGAAAAGGUGCCAGUAAUGACUGCUUGGCUCCCAACCACAGCUGCUAGUAUAGCAAUCACCAGAACAGGCCAUCUAAGUUUUUCUGAAGACAAAG
This 769-nucleotide small RNA is filed under the name Oryza sativa Japonica Group (Japanese rice). Its description in RNAcentral is "sRNA Os02g0730350". Lineage: Eukaryota; Viridiplantae; Streptophyta; Magnoliopsida; Poales; Poaceae. The record is from RNAcentral.